CUUGAGUUGGAAAUGGAACCCCGUGUUUCUAGAAGUGAAGUGGGUUUUGGUUUCACCUUUACUGGACGUGUAGAGCAGAGCAGCCUGGAAACAGGCAAGAGACGAGUCCGCAAGAGAGUCUUCGAUCGACAUCUGGACGGCGAAGGCAGAGUCUGGGUUCACAUUAGCCAGGGACAGCAGAUCUCUGAAGGGGUGAAGGAGGAGGCCUAAUGGCAGCCGGGCCUUGUUGAGUAACGCCUGGGUCUGAGGAAUGCUGGUCAGGGUGCACCGGAACGUCCUGUGUAUCUGUGAUGAGGAAGUACCUGGAUAGCUGCCUCCUUCGAGGGAAUCAUAGUUGUUGGGAACUGGAGACGCGCUGCCAGUACUGGAGGAGGAAGUGUCACCGCCUGAGACACGAAAACAAGAGAAGGAUUUCAAUAAUGAGAUAAAUACUUAGAGCAGUCUGAUGCAAACUGAGGACAGACUGAAGCAAUACAAUGAAUAAAAAGAUAAACAAAUCCUAAGAAAAUAUUAAAGACAUGUAAAUGACAGAAGCAGGAUGAAGAUAAAAGAAAAAUAAAGAAAACAAAAGCUAAGAAAAAAAAUGCAGAUAUUUGUUAGACCUGUAAGAUUCUGGGAUUAAGGCAAAGAGUGAGAAGGAGACUGAGGAGCUGUUUUAAAGGGUAUGAUUACAUUAUGUGACUUGAAAUGUAUACCUCUGUUCCUACUGAAGUUUUGUUAUUUUUGUGUUUUAGUGUUUUUAACUUGUCAUUAUGAGGCUGAAUAUGACAAGCCUAUUUUAGAGGAAUUAUCAGCUGAUGUUUUUGUUUGUGUUUGCUUUUGCUCCAUGUCUGUUAUUAAAUAAAGUCCUUCUUUGGAUGUUCACCAAGACUACAUAAGGUGACAGAAGGUAUAAGAUUGUGUGCACAAUUGGUAAGCAAGUCGGAGCAGUAGAGGAGAGGAGUGUGGAAAUCCCAGGGGAGCUCUGAAAAUAAUGAGUUAAGUCCAUGAUGUGUUAAAAGGCAAAAAAAAAAAAAAAAGAAAUGCAAGAGG
This is a long non-coding RNA of Cyprinodon tularosa, 1032 nucleotides long. RefSeq lists it as uncharacterized. The record is from RefSeq and is a predicted model, not a curated record. The transcript has 3 exons. Lineage: Eukaryota; Metazoa; Chordata; Actinopteri; Cyprinodontiformes; Cyprinodontidae.